GCGGGCGGCUGUCCAGCAGGGCUGGGAUCCCGCCCCUCCCGAGGGGCUUGCAGGCAUGAGACUCCAGCCUGGGUUUCUGUGAAAGAAUCCCCCCCUCGCAUUCCCCCCCCUUCAGGGAGCGAAGUCGGCAGGACCCACCAGGGUUACCUACCCAGAGAGCUUCCGGGCAGCGGCUCUGGAUGGGCACUUCUAGACAUUUUGCAUUCACAGCCCAGAGGUGGUUUUUUUAGAGUCACUGGGGAAAAGCACCGAGGUCAAGCUCGACAACUGGCUGAGGGGCUUUGGGGAUAUGCCACUGCUAAUUCUGCAGCCUACCCUUACGCCCUGGCAGCUUUGGGACAUUUCGCAACGUCUCCAGGCUCAAGGCUUAUCGCGAGGGAGACGCUGCGGCCAUAAGCUAUGAUGAGGAGUUCCGGAGGUGUGCUUCGCACAGUGAAAAUGCGCGCUGGGACGUAAUUCAUAGCCGGGCCUGGACAUUGUUAGUCCAAACUUUCGCCAAGCCCCAGAAUGUGGCCAAACCCCAGAACACAACUAAGCCCCAAAAAGCAGCCUUGAAAAAGCAAACGAAUGCCAAGACUGGCCAAUGCUGGGACUUUAAUAAAGGGAAAUGCCAAAGGGCCAAGUGCAGGUUUGCACACGUGUGCAAGACCUGCCUUGGCCCGCACGCACGCUCCAGCUGCCCAUUGGGGAAGGGACCCCAACCCUUUUAAAGUUCCUGGCCUGCAGCCACCUCUAGGGCCAGGAGGGGCAGUGGGAGCGGAAUACUUUGGCACAUCAUUGUUCCCACCCCUGGCCUAGAUCAACCACUGCAGUGACUUCUUCACCUGGCCAACUCACCACUAGAGGGUUGUGCUUUAAUUUCCUGUCUUGCCAGAUAUCCUAACUGCAGGGCAGCCAACUUCCUGUUCGAUCGGUUUUUGCAUUCCUUAUUUGGGCCCCGCAUGCUGAUGGAUAGUAGAAAUGUGAGGGGAACAAUUGGAGGCAGAGCCUCAGUGGUAAAACAAAACAGGAACAGGGUAGCUGUUCCCAGGAACCUAAAAAGAACUUAAACUCAGUGAUUUUGGACACUGCAGCUGUGCGCUCAGUUUCCGAAGAGCAAAGCCUAUCAGACAAACAUCUAGUACGAGGAAAGAGUAUUUUAGUUAUCCUUGUUGCAGUUGAAGGAAAUAAAGGGAAACAGGGCAAGUGUUUGCUGCACUCUUAGCCUUGAGCCCAACAGUAGAGCCUCCAGUUUCAGAGGCAGUACAUCUUGGGAAAUCUAAGCUUAGAAGAGUAAAUUCUGACAGAGCCAACAUGGAACCACACCUACAGGUGGACAGUAAGCCCAGUCUCACUUCAAGAUCUUGUGCAUAGAUAAAGGGGAUAAAAGUGAGUAACCUUUCUUUCCCCUUUCCAACUGUAUCAAGAAGAGAAUGUCUACUUUCAACCCCAUCUCUUUGAAACGUGGGGAUCCACUAAAAAAAAAUUCCUUUCAUUUAGGUGCUGUGAGAACAAAUAAAAAAUGAUCCAGCUUGGUAGCCUCACCUCUUCAGUAACAAGAACUUAACUCAUUUUCUAUCCUUUUAUUUAGCUGUGUCUGUAUUUUGGUGUUUGUGUCCAAUUACAUAUGAUCUAUGCUGUGCGUAUUAUAUCUUUGCUGCCUAAUAGACAGCUCUCAAAAGGUGGAGAAGUUAUUGUAUGCUUGUGUUCAUUUGCUUGUUUUUAAGAAAACCAAAAAAAUUACAUUUGUUCCAAGGUUUGUGUGGGACGAUAAUAAAAUAAUUCAAUUGAAUUCUGUACUGAAGGUGUGCUCAGCCCUGUCAGACUGCAGCUCAUAUGGCUAAUCCCCAGAUGUACAUAGUUUUUUUUGGGGGGGGGGGGAAUGGAAUUUGAUGUUGUGUUGGAUUCAUGGGAUAACCGCCCAUAGUCCAAAACCAAUGGAAAUAAGAAUUUUCAAGGGUUAUUGCUUGAAAAGAAAAAUAAAUGGUCAAAAGAAUGGAAAAAUUGGAGUCAGAAAUGCAAACGACUCAAACAAACGGCAACCAUGCCAUACCUGUUCUUUGUUGUACAUAUUAUGUGUGUUGUGUCUUUGUUCCACGAAAAAGGUUUCCUCCCUUGUGGAGAGAUUUUUAAAAUUUGCUUUUGUGCUAUGUUUUUGUGUUCAUUCAUUUAGUUUUAAAGCUUUUCUUUUUCUUAACCCUUAAUGGACAGCAAGUAACCUUUUAAAGGAAAAUGCCGCUGUUUUAUAACUAUUUAAAACUGUAUGGCUUGGUUUUGGUCUUAAUUUUUGGACCUCUGCUUUUCAUUUUCCUUUCCUUCUCUCUAAAUGUUUGAAUUCAAGUUUUCUGUUUACUUUGAUUUGUUGACUAUUUAGUGUUUCUCCAUGAUUAUUACUGGUUCACAAUGCCUUGCUCUCAGCUCAGCCCUAAACCGGCUGAGCACAAGAUGUCUCUUAAGGUGUCGGUGGAGAGAUCCGAAGCUAGUUGGAGCUUGCCACCAGUCCCUCACGAUUGCGCUUUCAGCCCAGGCUGAGCCGAUCACCCGCUAAUGAUGUCGGUUUUAUGUCUGGUACAGGCUCCAAGUGCCUACAUGUCCCAUAAAACCUCCAGAGGUUUCCAUUUCAGUCUUGGGGCGCUCGCUCGGCUCCCACCUGUCCCUCGCAAACCAGCUGCUUCAGCCAGCACUCCAUCCAGCCGCUUUCCUCUGCUAUCCUGGAAUCUGGGGCGGAGGGGGUCAACGCCUGCAGGGUGGGCAGAAGGGACAGGACCCAAGUUUCCUCUGGUCGAACAAGCGGAGCAAAGGGGGGGGGGGGGAGAUAGACAACACCGAGAGCAACUUUUGUAGCACAGCGUCUACGAGUUCUGUAAUUCAUCUGUGCAACUACAUGUAUUGUUGCAAAACCUUUUCCUAUGGAGUUAUGUACUUAUCCUUUCCUCCUCAGCAAAUAUAUGCAUCAGUGCUGGCGAACCUGUGGCGCGGGUUCCAGAGGUGGCACUCAGAGCCCUCUCUGUUGGCACGCACACACAGAGUUUGUCAUGUGGGGGGGAAAUUGCCCACACACAUACACAUCUUGGCUGGCCUGGGCCGCUGGA
Molecule: long non-coding RNA, 3071 nt
Organism: Sphaerodactylus townsendi
Lineage: Eukaryota; Metazoa; Chordata; Lepidosauria; Squamata; Sphaerodactylidae
Exons: 3
Source: RefSeq, a predicted model, not a curated record